GUGUGUAACAACUCACCUGC
RNAcentral lists this small nuclear RNA (20 nucleotides) under Arabidopsis thaliana (thale cress). RNAcentral's name for it is "snRNA_14929". Lineage: Eukaryota; Viridiplantae; Streptophyta; Magnoliopsida; Brassicales; Brassicaceae. The record is from RNAcentral.